RNAcentral lists this transfer RNA (113 nucleotides) under Aspergillus saccharolyticus JOP 1030-1. It matches the Rfam family "tRNA". Rfam says of the family: Transfer RNA (tRNA) molecules are approximately 80 nucleotides in length. Their secondary structure includes four short double-helical elements and three loops (D, anti-codon, and T loops). Further hydrogen bonds mediate the characteristic L-shaped molecular structure. tRNAs have two regions of fundamental functional importance: the anti-codon, which is responsible for specific mRNA codon recognition, and the 3' end, to which the tRNAs corresponding amino acid is attached (by aminoacyl-tRNA synthetases). tRNAs cope with the degeneracy of the genetic code in two manners: having more than one tRNA (with a specific anti-codon) for a particular amino acid; and 'wobble' base-pairing, i.e. permitting non-standard base-pairing at the 3rd anti-codon position. The record is from Rfam by way of RNAcentral. Lineage: Eukaryota; Fungi; Ascomycota; Eurotiomycetes; Eurotiales; Aspergillaceae.
GGCAAGAUGGCCGAGUUGGUCUAAGGCGUCAGGUUAAGGUUACCUUAACACACAGCUUUCCCAAGCUUCCUGAUCAUCGUAAGAUGGCGUGGGUUCGAAUCCCACUCUUGUCA